RNAcentral lists this ribosomal RNA (424 nucleotides) under uncultured bacterium. Its description in RNAcentral is "bacterial SSU rRNA". It matches the Rfam family "Bacterial small subunit ribosomal RNA", at positions 358 to 774 of the family's 1533-position model. The record is from RNAcentral.
GGAAUAUUCGUCAAUGGGGGAAACCCUGAACGAGCAAUGCCGCGUGAGUGAUGACGGUCUUAUAGAUUGUAAAACUCUGUUGUAAAGGAAGAACCCUUAUUAUAGGAAAUGAUAAUAAGUUGACGGUACUUUACCAGAAAGCCCCGGCUAACUACGUGCCAGCAGCCGCGGUAAUACGUAGGGGGCGAGCGUUAUCCGGAUUUAUUGGGCGUAAAGUGUGCGUAGGCGGUUUAUUAAGUCUAAGAUUAAAGCCCGAGGCUUAACCUCGGUUCGUUUUAGAAACUGGUAGACUUGAGUGUGGUAGAGGCAAGUGGAAUUUCUAGUGUAGCGGUUAAAUGCGUAGAUAUUAGAAGGAACACCAGUGGCGAAGGCGGCUUGCUGGGCCAUUACUGACGCUGAGGCACGAAAGCGUGGGGAGCAAAUA